Molecule: long non-coding RNA, 1790 nt
Filed under: Nicotiana tabacum (common tobacco)
Lineage: Eukaryota; Viridiplantae; Streptophyta; Magnoliopsida; Solanales; Solanaceae
Description: long non-coding RNA (NTAB_LNC002273)
Source: RNAcentral
UUAGAAUCUCAAUCAAAUGUUGGAGUCAAUCUGCUUUCCAUUUACUCCGAUAUCUCGGGACAUCUUCUCUUUUUUUUUUCUUUUUCUUCUUUGAUUCCGAACUGGGACUCAUCUCGUGGGUCGUUUCGAUCCAUGUGGCUCGAGGUUAGACCUGCAGGAGAAAACAAACAAACGAACGAAAUUUUCUGCCCUAGUUUCACUAGGAAAAUUUCGUUAAUUAUUCGCCAGGAAGUUCAUAAAAUUGAUGAAGGAAGAUAAAAAUGUUUAGUUCAGGGUUGGAACCUUAAUACCGACUAGCUGGGGAAAGGUUCAGCUUAGGGUUUUAAAACCCUAAUGCCGAACAAAGGAAGAAUUCAGUUCAGGGUUUAAAACCCUAAUGCUGACUAAAGGAAAAUUCAGUUUAGGGUUUAAAACCCUAAUGCUGACUAAAGGAAAAAUUCAGUUCAGGGUUUAAAACCCCAAUGCUGAUUGCGUGGAAAAGCUCAGUUUAGGGUUUAAAACCCUAAUGCUGGCUGAAUGGAAAAAAGUUCAGUUUAGGGUUUAAAACCCUAAUGCUGACUAAAAGGAAAAAUUCAGUUUAGGGUUUAAAACCCUAAUGCUGACUGCAUGAAAAAGCUCAGUUUAGGGUUUAAAACCCUAAUGCUGGCUGAAUGGAAAAAGUUCAGUUUAGGGUUUAAAACCCUAAUGCUUACUAAAAGGAAAAAUUUAGUUUAGGGUUUAAAACCCUAAUGCUGAAUACAUGGAAAAGCUCAGUUUAGGGUUUAAAACCCUAAUGCUGGCUGAAAGGAAAAAGUUCAGUUUAAGGUUUAAAAUCCUAAUGCUGACUAAAAGGAAAAUUCAGUUUAGGGUUUAAAACCCUAAUGCUGACUGCAUGAAAAAGCUUAGUUUAGGGUUUAAAACCCUAAUGCUGGCUGAAUGGAAAAAGUUCAGUUUCGGGUUUAUAACCCUAAUGCUGACUAAAAGGAAAAAUUCAGUUUAGGGUUUAAAACCCUAAUGCUGACUGCAUGAAAAAGCUCAAUUUAGGGUUUAAAACCCUAUUGCUGGCUGAAUGUAAAAAGUUCAGUUUAGGGUUUAAAACCCUAAUGCUGACUAAAAGGAAAAAUUCAGUUUAGGGUUUAAAACCCUAAUGCUGAAUACAUGGAAAAGCUCAGUUUAGGGUUUAAAACCCUAAUGCUGGCUGAAAGGAAAAAGUUCAGUUUAAGGUUUAAAACCCUAAUGCUGACUAAAAGGAAAAUUCAGUUUAGGGUUUAAAACCCUAAUGCUGACUAAAAGGAAAAAUUCAAUUUAGGGUUUAAAACCCUAAUGCUGAAUACAUGGAAAAGCUCAGUUUAGGGUUUAAAACCCUAAUGCUGGCUGAAUGGAAAAAGUUCAGUUUAGGGUUUAAAACCUUAAUGUUGACUAAAAGGAAAAAUUCAGUUUAGGGUUUAAAACCCUAAUGCUGAAUACAUGGAAAAGCUCAGUUUAGGGUUUAAAACCCUAAUGUUGGCUGAAUGAAAAAAGUUCAGUUUAGGGUUUAAAACCUUAAUGCUGACUAAAAGGAAAAUUCAGUUUAGGGUUUAAAACCCUAAUGCUGAUUGCAUGGAAAGGCUCAGUUUAGGGUUUAAAACCCUAAUGCUGGCUGAAUGGAAAAAGUUCAGUUUAGGGUUUAAAACCCUAAUGCUUACUAAAAGGAAAAAUUUAGUUUAGGGUUUAAAACCCUAAUGCUGAAUGCAUGGAAAAGCUCAGUUUAGGGUUUAAAACCCUAAUGCUGGCUGAAAGGAAAAAGUUCAGUUUAAGGUUUAAAAUCCUAA